This 388-nucleotide ribosomal RNA is filed under the name uncultured bacterium. Its description in RNAcentral is "bacterial SSU rRNA". It matches the Rfam family "Bacterial small subunit ribosomal RNA", at positions 29 to 408 of the family's 1533-position model. The record is from RNAcentral.
AACGAACGCUGGCGGCGCGCCUAAUACAUGCAAGUCGAGCGAGAAGACGUAGCAAUACGUUUGUAAAGCGGCGAACGGGUGAGGAAUACAUGGGUAACCUACCCUAGAGUGGGGAAUAACUAGCCGAAAGGUUAGCUAAUACCGCGUACGCUCCUUGGACUUCGGUUCAGGGAGGAAAGCGAUACCGUGGGUAUCGCGCUCUUGGAUGGGCUCAUGUCCUAUCAGCUUGUUGGGAGGUAACGGCUCACCAAGGCUUCGACGGGUAGCUGGUCUGAGAGGACGAUCAGCCACACUGGCACUGCGACACGGGCCAGACUCCUACGGGAGGCAGCAGUAAGGAAUAUUGCGCAAUGGGCGAAAGCCUGACGCAGCGACGCCGCGUGGGGGA